This 253-nucleotide ribosomal RNA is filed under the name uncultured bacterium. RNAcentral describes it as "partial 16S ribosomal RNA". It matches the Rfam family "Bacterial small subunit ribosomal RNA", at positions 524 to 776 of the family's 1533-position model. The record is from RNAcentral.
UACGUAGGGUGCGAGCGUUGUCCGGAAUUAUUGGGCGUAAAGAGCGCGUAGGUGGAUCAAUUAGUCUGCUGUGAAAGUCAAAGGCUCAACCUUUGAAAGCCGGUGGAUACUGUUGAUCUAGAGUACGGAAGAGGCGAGUGGAAUUCCUGGUGUAGCGGUGGAAUGCGCAGAUAUCAGGAGGAACACCAAUAGCGAAGGCAGCUCGCUGGGACGUUACUGACACUGAGGCGCGAAAGCGUGGGGAGCAAACAGG